ACGAAGGGGGCUAGCGUUGUUCGGAAUUACUGGGCGUAAAGGGCGCGUAGGCGGUUUGUUAAGUCAGGCGUGAAAGCCCUGGGCUCAACCUGGGAUGUGCGUUUGAUACUGGCAAGCUUGAGUGCAGGAGAGGAUGGUGGAAUUCCCAGUGUAGAGGUGAAAUUCGUAGAUAUUGGGAAGAACACCGGUGGCGAAGGCGGCCAUCUGGACUGCAACUGACGCUGAGGCGCGAAAGCGUGGGGAGCAAACAGGA
This 253-nucleotide ribosomal RNA is filed under the name uncultured prokaryote. RNAcentral's name for it is "partial 16S ribosomal RNA". It matches the Rfam family "Bacterial small subunit ribosomal RNA", at positions 525 to 777 of the family's 1533-position model. The record is from RNAcentral.